Molecule: ribosomal RNA, 230 nt
Filed under: uncultured bacterium
Lineage: Bacteria
Description: partial 16S ribosomal RNA
Rfam family: Bacterial small subunit ribosomal RNA
Source: RNAcentral
AAGGGUGCGUAGGCGGCCUGUUAAGUCAGGGGUGAAAGACGGUAGCUCAACUAUCGCAGUGCCCUUGAUACUGAUGGGCUUGAAUUGACUAGAGGUAGGCGGAAUGUGACAAGUAGCGGUGAAAUGCAUAGAUAUGUCACAGAACACCGAUUGCGAAGGCAGCUUACUAUGGUCUUAUUGACGCUGAGGCACGAAAGGCGUGGGGAUCAAACAGGAUUAGAUACCCCAGU